CACAGUCUUCUGUCUGCCUGUGAAGCGCUCAGCUAGCAGUUCAGAGAGCUCAGAAGAACUUGUGCCAUCUCCUAUUCUGCAAAAAGCUGCUGCUGUUAUGUUCAAGGCAGAACCCACACAG
Sinocyclocheilus rhinocerous is the source of this 121-nucleotide long non-coding RNA. RefSeq lists it as uncharacterized. The transcript has 3 exons. The record is from RefSeq and is a predicted model, not a curated record. NCBI's taxonomy places the organism in Eukaryota, Metazoa, Chordata, Actinopteri, Cypriniformes, Cyprinidae.